GGGUGGAUUAGUGGCGAACGGGUGAGUAACACGUGAGUAACCUGCCCUUAACUCUGGGAUAAGCCUGGGAAACUGGGUCUAAUACCGGAUAGGAGCGYCYACCGCAUGGUGGGUGUUGGAAAGAUUUAUCGGUUUUGGAUGGACUCGCGGCCUAUCAGCUUGUUGGUGAGGUAAUGGCUCACCAAGGCGACGACGGGUAGCCGGCCUGAGAGGGUGACCGGCCACACUGGGACUGAGACACGGCCCAGACUCCUACGGGAGGCAGCAGUGGGGAAUAUUGCACAAUGGGCGMAAGCCUGAUGCAGCGACGCCGCGUGAGGGAUGACGGCCUUCGGGUUGUAAACCUCUUUCAGUAGGGAAGAAGCGAAAGUGACGGUACCUGCAGAAGAAGCACCGGCUAACUACGUGCCAGCAGCCGCGGUAAUACGUAGGGUGCGAGCGUUAUCCGGAAUUAUUGGGCGUAAAGAGCUCGUAGGCGGUUUGUCGCGUCUGUCGUGAAAGUCCGGGGCUUAACCCCGGAUCUGCGGUGGGUACGGGCAGACUAGAGUGCAGUAGGGGAGACUGGAAUUCCUGGUGUAGCGGUGGAAUGCGCAGAUAUCAGGAGGAACACCGAUGGCGAAGGCAGGUCUCUGGGCUGUAACUGACGCUGAGGAGCGAAAGCAUGGGGAGCGAACAGGAUUAGAUACCCUGGUAGUCCAUGCCGUAAACGUUGGGCACUAGGUGUGGGGACCAUUCCACGGUUUCCGCGCCGCAGCUAACGCAUUAAGUGCCCCGCCUGGGGAGUACGGCCGCAAGGCUAAAACUCAAAGGAAUUGACGGGGGCCCGCACAAGCGGCGGAGCAUGCGGAUUAAUUCGAUGCAACGCGAAGAACCUUACCAAGGCUUGACAUGUUCUCGAUCGCCGUAGAGAUACGGUUUCCCCUUUGGGGCGGGUUCACAGGUGGUGCAUGGUUGUCGUCAGCUCGUGUCGUGAGAUGUUGGGUUAAGUCCCGCAACGAGCGCAACCCUCGUUCCAUGUUGCCAGCACGUAAUGGUGGGGACUCAUGGGAGACUGCCGGGGUCAACUCGGAGGAAGGUGAGGACGACGUCAAAUCAUCAUGCCCCUUAUGUCUUGGGCUUCACGCAUGCUACAAUGGCCGGUACAAUGGGUUGCGAUACUGUGAGGUGGAGCUAAUCCCAAAAAGCCGGUCUCAGUUUAGA
RNAcentral lists this ribosomal RNA (1200 nucleotides) under Micrococcus sp. RNAcentral's name for it is "bacterial SSU rRNA". It matches the Rfam family "Bacterial small subunit ribosomal RNA", at positions 85 to 1297 of the family's 1533-position model. The record is from RNAcentral. Lineage: Bacteria; Bacillati; Actinomycetota; Actinomycetes; Micrococcales; Micrococcaceae.